RNAcentral lists this ribosomal RNA (1332 nucleotides) under metagenome. RNAcentral describes it as "bacterial SSU rRNA". It matches the Rfam family "Archaeal small subunit ribosomal RNA". The record is from RNAcentral.
AGGAAAUGAAAGGCGAACUGCUCAGUAACACGUAGCUAACCUGCCCUAAUUCUUGGAAUACCGUCGGGAAACUGACAUUAAUACCGAAUAGAAGAUAAUUAUUGGAAUAUGUUAUCUUUGAAGUUAGGAUGGGGCUGCGGCUGAUUAGGUUGUUGGCGGGGUAACUGCCCACCAAGCCGACUAUCAGUAAGGGCUCUUAGCGGAGGGACCCUGAGAGGGAAUCUGAGACACUAUUCCCAGCCCUACGGGGUGCAGCAGUCGGGAAACUUCUGCAAUGCGCGCAAGCGUGACAGAGCAAGCCAGAGUGCUUUCCUAUAAUUGGAAAGCUUUUGUGAGAUGUAAAAAGUCUUACGAAUAAGGACUGGGUAAGACUGGUGCCAGCCGCCGCGGUAAUACCAGCGGUCCAAGUAGCAGCCAUUUUUAUUGGGUCUAAAACAUCCGUAGCUUGUCUUGUAAGUCUUUUGUGAUAUCUAAUAUCUCAAGUAUUAGGCGAGCAAGAGAUACUGCAGGGCUAGAGACCGGGAGGCGUAAGGAGUACGGUUAGGGUAGCGGUUAAAUGCGUUGAUCCUUUCUGGACUAACGAUAGCGAAGGCACCUUACGAGAACGGAUCUGACAGUGAGGGAUGAAGGCUAGGGGCGCAAAACGGAUUAGAUACCCGUGUAGUCCUAGCAGUAAACACUGCACACUAAACAUCAGUACCUCUUCGAGAGGUAUUGGUGCUGAAGGGAAGCCGUAGAGUGUGCUACCUGGGAAGUAUAGUCGCAAGGCCGAAACUUAAAGGAAUAGGCGGCGGGGUACUACAACCAGUGACGCGUGCGGUUCAAUUAGAUUCUACACCGUGAACCUCACCAGGGUCGAUAGCAGAAUGAAGGUCAGUCUAAAGGGCUUACCUGACACGCUAAGAGGAGAUGCAUGGCCGACGUCAGCCUGUGUCGUGAGAUGAUCUGUUAAAUCAGGUAACAGGCGAGACCCGUGUGUAUAUUUGCACGAACAAGAUACAGACUGCCUUGGCAACAAGGAGGAAGGUGCGGGCCACGUUAGGUGAGUACGUCCCGAAUACCCUGGGCUACACGCGCGCGGCAAUGCUGCUUCAAAGAGUUGCGACCCCGAGAGGGGAAGCUAAUCUCAUAAACUGCAGCCUAGUUCAGAUUGAGGGUUGCAACUCACCCUCAUGACGCUGGAAUUGGUAGUAAUCGGAUUUUAUCAGAGUCCGGUGAAUAAGUCAAUGCCCCGUGCACUCACCGCCCGUCAAACCAACCGAGUUUAGCAUUGACGAGGCCCGUCAGGGACGAAUCUUUGUUAGACAAGGUAGGUUAAGUCAGCACAAGGUA